Molecule: ribosomal RNA, 792 nt
Filed under: uncultured Russulaceae
Lineage: Eukaryota; Fungi; Basidiomycota; Agaricomycetes; Russulales; Russulaceae
Description: eukaryotic LSU rRNA
Rfam family: 5.8S ribosomal RNA (bases 210-363)
Source: RNAcentral
UCAUUAUUGUAAAACUGAGGUGCGAGGGCUGUCGCUGGCCUUUCAAAAAGGUUGUGCACGCCCGAGUGCUUUCACGUCCAUCUCACCCCUUUGUGCAUCAUCGCGUGGGCCCUCCUUUUGGCUUGUUUCAAGGGAGUGGCUUGCGUUUUCACACAAACAACCCUUUAAUGCAGUGUAGUAGAAUGUAUGCGUUGACUCGCAAUCAAUACAACUUUCAACAACGGAUCUCUUGGCUCUCGCAUCGAUGAAGAACGCAGCGAAAUGCGAUACGUAAUGUGAAUUGCAGAAUUCAGUGAAUCAUCGAAUCUUUGAACGCACCUUGCGCCCCUUGGCAUUCCGAGGGGCACACCCGUUUGAGUGUCGUGAUGUCCUCAAAAGCCUUUCUUCGAUCUCUUGAUCGGGGAGAGUCUUUUGGAUUUUGGAGGUCUUUGCUGGCUUUCACUUGAAUGUCAGCUCCUCUUAAACGAAUUAGUGGGGUCCGCUUUGCAGGUCCUUGACGCGAUAAGAUGUUUCUGUGUCUUGGGUAUUGCUUUGCUUCUUGAGAUCCUGCUUCUAAAACAUGUUCGAGUUCUCUCCCUUCACGGGGAAGGAACUACGAACCACGAUGAACCCUUGACCUCAAAUCGGGUGAGACUACCCGCUGAACUUAAGCAUAUCAAUAAGCGGAGGAAAAGAAACUAACAAGGAUUCCCCUAGUAACUGCGAGUGAAGCGGGAAAAGCUCAAAUUUAAAAUCUGGUGGCCUUUGGCCAUCCGAGUUGUAAUCUAGAGAAGCGUCUUCCGCGCUGGACCG